This 832-nucleotide ribosomal RNA is filed under the name Escherichia coli. Its description in RNAcentral is "bacterial SSU rRNA". It matches the Rfam family "Bacterial small subunit ribosomal RNA", at positions 713 to 1533 of the family's 1533-position model. Lineage: Bacteria; Pseudomonadati; Pseudomonadota; Gammaproteobacteria; Enterobacterales; Enterobacteriaceae. The record is from RNAcentral.
UGGCGAAGGCGGCCCCCUGGACGAAGACUGACGCUCAGGUGCGAAAGCGUGGGGAGCAAACAGGAUUAGAUACCCUGGUAGUCCACGCCGUAAACGAUGUCGACUUGGAGGUUGUGCCCUUGAGGCGUGGCUUCCGGAGCUAACGCGUUAAGUCGACCGCCUGGGGAGUACGGCCGCAAGGUUAAAACUCAAAUGAAUUGACGGGGGCCCGCACAAGCGGUGGAGCAUGUGGUUUAAUUCGAUGCAACGCGAAGAACCUUACCUGGUCUUGACAUCCACGGAAGUUUUCAGAGAUGAGAAUGUGCCUUCGGGAACCGUGAGACAGGUGCUGCAUGGCUGUCGUCAGCUCGUGUUGUGAAAUGUUGGGUUAAGUCCCGCAACGAGCGCAACCCUUAUCCUUUGUUGCCAGCGGUCCGGCCGGGAACUCAAAGGAGACUGCCAGUGAUAAACUGGAGGAAGGUGGGGAUGACGUCAAGUCAUCAUGGCCCUUACGACCAGGGCUACACACGUGCUACAAUGGCGCAUACAAAGAGAAGCGACCUCGCGAGAGCAAGCGGACCUCAUAAAGUGCGUCGUAGUCCGGAUUGGAGUCUGCAACUCGACUCCAUGAAGUCGGAAUCGCUAGUAAUCGUGGAUCAGAAUGCCACGGUGAAUACGUUCCCGGGCCUUGUACACACCGCCCGUCACACCAUGGGAGUGGGUUGCAAAAGAAGUAGGUAGCUUAACCUUCGGGAGGGCGCUUACCACUUUGUGAUUCAUGACUGGGGUGAAGUCGUAACAAGGUAACCGUAGGGGAACCUGCGGUUGGAUCACCUCCUUACCUUAAAGAAGC